UGAAGGGAAACAAAAAGCAGAGACAAGACCGUUUUUGCAAUCAACGUUACAGUUUUUUUUUAAUCUGGGGAUGGAUGGCUGAGUUGGACACGUUCUGGAUCCACACGACCUGUGAGUAUUCUCACUACUUUGCUCUCAAGAAAUUGCAGUACAAUCUGAAUUACUUUUUGGAUGAACUGGGUGUCUACCAGUGUUACACCACUAGUUCUCAGUAGUAAUAACACUCCAUUUCAUGUCUCUCAGUAGAUGAAGCCAGCUGCAACCCGUAGAGUGGAGUCGUGGAGAGAGCCCCUCGCCCCUCAGCUAAACCAGAGUAAAUGAAGCCAGCACCAACCUGUGGAGUGGAGUCCAGGAGAGAGCAUGCCGCCCCUCAGCUAAACCAGAUCAGAUAAAGCCAACUGGAACCAUAUUUUUACAUAUUUUAUAUUAAAUAUAUUGAAUAAAACUACAUAUGAUAAAGAAAGUGUUAUCUUAUCUUUUUUAUAUGCUAAACUUGAUUAAAUUGGUGAUUACAUGUUGAAGCUGUAGAAGAAUGAAAAAUGUAAGCUAAACAAAAUUGUUUUUAACUACAUAAUUAAAAUUCCUGCCUUUUACACAUGUUCACUUGGCGUUUAUAUAACAUCCAAAUGUCAUUUCUCAGCUUAAUUAUCAGGCAGGCUCAUAGACUUACAGCAAUGUAAUUUCUUCAGGAAGGCACAAGGCUAAGCUCUGCACAAUGAAUUGCAUCAGCAAGAACUUUCUGACUGUAGCUUACACUCCAAAUAGUAUGCCUUUGGCCAGCACAAAGACAGAUAAGAGAACAGGGAACAUUCCAUCGCGA
Entelurus aequoreus (snake pipefish) is the source of this 820-nucleotide long non-coding RNA. RefSeq lists it as uncharacterized. The record is from RefSeq and is a predicted model, not a curated record. The transcript has 3 exons. NCBI's taxonomy places the organism in Eukaryota, Metazoa, Chordata, Actinopteri, Syngnathiformes, Syngnathidae.